GUAGGUGGCAAGCGUUGUCCGGAAUUAUUGGGCGUAAAGCGCGCGCAGGCGGGUUCUUUAAGUCUGAUGUGAAAGCCCACGGGCUCAACCGUGGAGGGUCAUUGGAAACUGGAGAACUUGAGUACAGAAGAGGAAAGCGGAAUUCCACGUGUAGCGGUGAAAUGCGUAGAGAUGUGGGGGAACACCAGUGGCGAAGGCGGCUUUCUGGUCUGUAACUGACGCUGAGGCGCGAAAGCGUGGGGAGCAAACAGGAUUAGAUACCCUGGUAGUCCACGCCGUAAACGAUGAGUGCUAAGUGUUAGGGGGUUUCCGCCCCUUAGUGCUGCAGCUAACGCAUUAAGCACUCCGCCUGGGGAGUACGGCCGCAAGGCUG
RNAcentral lists this ribosomal RNA (373 nucleotides) under uncultured organism. Its description in RNAcentral is "partial 16S ribosomal RNA". It matches the Rfam family "Bacterial small subunit ribosomal RNA", at positions 527 to 896 of the family's 1533-position model. The record is from RNAcentral.